RNAcentral lists this long non-coding RNA (1878 nucleotides) under Oncorhynchus mykiss (rainbow trout). RNAcentral describes it as "lncRNA (ENSOMYG00000050961.1)". Lineage: Eukaryota; Metazoa; Chordata; Actinopteri; Salmoniformes; Salmonidae. The record is from RNAcentral.
AUGACUGCUACUAAACUACGUUUAUAUAUAUUCCACAGUACUACUACUAAACUACGAUUAUAUAUAUUCCACAUGACUGCUACUAAACUACGUUUAUAUAUAUUCCACAGGACUACUACUAAACUACAUUUGUAUAUAUUCCACAUGACUACUACUGAACUACGUUUGUAUAUAUUCCACAUGACUACUACUAAACUACGAUUAUAUAUAUUCCACAUGACUGCUACUAAACUACAUUUAUAUAUAUUCCACAGGACUACUACUAAACUACAUUUAUAUAUAUUCCACAGGACUACUACUAAACUACAUUUAUAUAUAUUCCACAUGACUACUACUAAACUACGAUUAUAUAUAUUCCACAUGACUGCUACUAAACUACGAUUAUAUAUAUUCCACAGGACUACUACUAAACUACAUUUAUAUAUAUUCCACAUGACUACUACUAAACUACGAUUAUAUAUAUUCCACAUGACUGCUACUAAACUACAUUUAUAUAUAUUCCACAGGACUACUACUAAACUACAUUUAUAUAUAUUCCACAUGACUACUACUAAACUACGAUUAUAUAUAUUCCACAUGACUGCUACUAAACUACGAUUAUAUAUAUUCCACAGGACUACUACUAAACUACAUUUAUAUAUAUUCCACAUGACUACUACUAAACUACGAUUAUAUAUAUUCCACAUGACUGCUACUAAACUACAUUUAUAUAUAUUCCACAUGACUACUACUAAACUACAUUUAUAUAUAUUCCACAUGACUACUACUAAACUACGAUUAUAUAUAUUCCACAGGACUACUACUAAACUACAUUUAUAUAUAUUCCACAUGACUACUACUAAACUACGAUUAUAUAUAUUCCACAUGACUGCUACUAAACUACAUUUAUAUAUAUUCCACAGGACUACUACUAAACUACAUUUAUAUAUAUUCCACAUGACUACUACUAAACUACGAUUAUAUAUAUUCCACAUGACUGCUACUAAACUACGAUUAUAUAUAUUCCACAGGACUACUACUAAACUACAUUUAUAUAUAUUCCACAUGACUACUACUAAACUACGAUUAUAUAUAUUCCACAUGACUGCUACUAAACUACAUUUAUAUAUAUUCCACAUGACUGCUACUAAACUACAUUUAUAUAUAUUCCACAGGACUACUACUAAACUACAUUUAUAUAUAUUCCACAGGACUACUACUAAACUACAUUUAUAUAUAUUCCACAUGACUGCUACUAAACUACAUUUAUAUAUAUUCCACAUGACUACUACUAAACUACGAUUAUAUAUAUUCCACAUGACUGCUACUAAACUACGAUUAUAUACAUUCCACAUGACUACUACUAAACUACAUUUAUAUAUAUUCCACAUGACUACUACUAAACUACGAUUAUAUAUAUUCCACAUGACUGCUACUAAACUACAUUUAUAUAUAUUCCACAGGACUACUACUAAACUACAUUUAUAUAUAUUCCACAUGACUACUACUAAACUACGAUUAUAUAUAUUCCACAUGACUGCUACUAAACUACAUUUAUAUAUAUUCCACAUGACUGCUACUAAACUACAUUUAUAUAUAUUCCACAUGACUGCUACUAAACUACAUUUAUAUAUAUUCCACAUGACUGCUACUAAACUACAUUUAUAUAUAUUCCACAUGACUGCUACUAAACUACAUUUAUAUAUAUUCCACAUGACUGCUACUAAACUACGAUUAUAUAUAUUCCACAGGACUACUACUAAACUACAUUUAUAUAUAUUCCACAUGACUACUACUAAACUACGAUUAUAUAUAUUCCACAUGACUGCUACUAAACUACGAUUAUAUAUAUUCCACAGGACUACUACUAAACUACAUUUAGAUAUAUAUUCCACAUGA